CCUACGGGCGACAGCAGUGGGGGAUAUUGCACAAUGGGGGGAACCCUGAUGCAGCGACGCCGCGUGGGUGAAGAAGCGCCUCGGCGCGUAAAGCCCUGUCAGCAGGGAAGAAAAUGACGGUACCUGAAGAAGAAGCCCCGGCUAACUACGUGCCAGCAGCCGCGGUAAUACGUAGGGGGCAAGCGUUAUCCGGAUUUACUGGGUGUAAGGGGGGCGCAGACGGCGAUGCAAGCCAGGAGUGAAAGCCCGGGGCCCAACCCCGGGACUGCUCUGGGAACUGGGUGGCUGGGGUGCGGGGGGGCAGGCGGAAUUCCUGGGGGAGCGGUGAAAUGGGUAGAUAACAGGAGGAAAACCGGUGGCGAAGGCGGCCUGCUGGACUGCAACUGACGUUGAGGCCCGAAAGCGGGGGGAGCAAACAGGAUUAGAUACCCCGGUAGUC
RNAcentral lists this ribosomal RNA (439 nucleotides) under uncultured bacterium. RNAcentral describes it as "partial 16S ribosomal RNA". It matches the Rfam family "Bacterial small subunit ribosomal RNA", at positions 338 to 795 of the family's 1533-position model. The record is from RNAcentral.